GCCGAUGUAGCUCAGUGGUAGAGCAACUCCAUGGUAAGGAGUAGGUCGUGGGUUCAACUCCCACCAUCGGCUCCA
Molecule: transfer RNA, 75 nt
Filed under: bacterium
Lineage: Bacteria
Description: tRNA-Thr
Rfam family: tRNA
About the family: Transfer RNA (tRNA) molecules are approximately 80 nucleotides in length. Their secondary structure includes four short double-helical elements and three loops (D, anti-codon, and T loops).
Source: RNAcentral